Molecule: ribosomal RNA, 451 nt
Filed under: uncultured organism
Description: partial 16S ribosomal RNA
Rfam family: Bacterial small subunit ribosomal RNA
Source: RNAcentral
UACACUCCUGCGGGAGGCAGCAGUGGGGAAUAUUGGACAAUGGGCGCAAGCCUGAUCCAGCCAUGCCGCGUGAGUGAUGAAGGCCCUAGGGUUGUAAAGCUCUUUCACCGGUGAAGAUAAUGACGGUAACCGGAGAAGAAGCCCCGGCUAACUUCGUGCCAGCAGCCGCGGUAAUACGAAGGGGGCUAGCGUUGUUCGGAUUUACUGGGCGUAGAGCGCACGUAGGCGGACUAUUAAGUCAGGGGUGAAAUCCCGGGGCUCAACCCCGGAACUGCCUUUGAUACUGGUAGUCUUGAGUUCGAGAGAGGUGAGUGAAUUCCGAGUGUAGAGGUGAAAUUCGUAGAUAUUCGGAGGAACACCAGUGGCGAAGGCGGCUCACUGGCUCGAUACUGACGCUGAGGUGCGAAAGCGUGGGGAGCAAACAGGAUUAGAAACCCUAGUAGUCCCAUGA